Molecule: unclassified non-coding RNA, 209 nt
Filed under: Hevea brasiliensis (rubber tree)
Lineage: Eukaryota; Viridiplantae; Streptophyta; Magnoliopsida; Malpighiales; Euphorbiaceae
Source: RNAcentral
AAAUUUGGAAAACUUGCAGGUCUAGAUUCAGAUCAAGAUCUGACUCAGUCAAAUCUUUUCUGGGAAGUUGCAGGUGAUAGAAUAGGCAUCGGAAGGGUCGUUUGGAUGUUGUUGAUGGAUUGAUGGUGGCGGUGCUUGGGUUUGAUGGCCGGAUGGUGGUGUAUGGUUAGGGGUGGAAGUGCAUUGCUGGGUUGUGCUAUUUCUCAAAG